UACGGAGGGUGCGAGCGUUGUCCGGAAUCACUGGGCGUAAAGGGCGCGUAGGUGGCACGGGUAGUCGUCGGUGAAAGCUCAGGGCUCAACCCUGAGUCGGCCGGUGAUACUCCCGAGCUCGAGUGUGGUAGAGGCCAAUGGAAUUCCGGGUGUAGCGGUGGAAUGCGUAGAGAUCCGGAAGAACACCGGUGGCGAAGGCGGUUGGCUGGGCCACAACUGACACUGAUGCGCGACAGCGUGGGUAGCAAACAGG
This 253-nucleotide ribosomal RNA is filed under the name uncultured bacterium. Its description in RNAcentral is "partial 16S ribosomal RNA". It matches the Rfam family "Bacterial small subunit ribosomal RNA", at positions 524 to 776 of the family's 1533-position model. The record is from RNAcentral.